AGUUCGAUCAUGGCUCAGAGAUUGAACGCUGGCGGGAUGCUUUACAUGCAGUCGAACGGCAGCACGGACUUGCGUCUGGUGGCGAGUGGCGAACGGGUGAGUAAUGUAUCGGAACGUGCCUAGUAGCGGGGAUAACUACGCGAAAGCGUAGCUAAUACCGCAUACGCCCUUCGGGGAAAGCGGGGGACCUUCGGGCCUCGCACUAUUAAACGGCCGAUAUCAGGGAUUGGCUAGUUGGUGGGGUAACGGCUCGCAAGGCGACGAUCAUGGCUGGUUUGAAGGACGACCAGCCACACUGGGACUGAGACACGGCCCAGACUCCUGCGGGAGGCAGCGGUGGGGGAAUUUUGGACAAUGGGGAAACCUGGUCCAGCCAUCCGCGUGUGCGAUGAAGGCCUUCGGGUUAUGCGCCCACUUUUGGCAGGAAAGAAACGGCACGGGAUAAUACCCGUGCAACUGACAACCUGCAGAAUAAGCACCAAUAGCUUUACGGUACCAGCAACCGCGUGUGUAGGAGUGCAAGCGUUAAUCGGAAUUACUGGGCGUAAAGCGUGCGCAGGCGGUUCGGAAAGAAGAUGUAGAGAAAUCCCAGAGCGCAACUUUGGAACUGCAUUUUUUAACUACCGAGCUAGAGUGUGUCAGAGGUGGAAUUCCGUAUGUAGCAGUGAAAUGCGUAGAUAUGCGGAGAACACCGAUGGCGAAGGCAGCCUCCUGGGAUAACGCGGCGCUCAUGCACGAAAGCGUGGGAGCAAACGGGAUUAGAUACCCUGGUAGUCCACGCCCUAAACGAUGUCAACUGGCUGUUGGGGCCUUCGGGCCUGGUAGCUGUGCGCCGUGAAAGUUGACCGCCUGGGAAAUACGGUCGCAAGAUUAAAACUCAAAGGAAUUGACGGGGACCCGCACAAGCAGUGGAUGAUCAUGGAUUAAUUCGAUGCAACGCGAAAAGUACCACCCUUGACAUGUCUGGUCCGGUCCCGGUGCUCGCAAGAGAACCGGAACACAGGUGCUGCAUGGCUGUCGUCAGCUCGUGUCGUGAGAUGUUGGGUUAAGUCCAACAAGCACGCGCGUUGUCAUUAGAUUGCUGAAAGGGCACUCUAAUGAGACUGCCGGUGACAAACCGGAGGAAGGUGGGGAUGACGUCAAGUCCUCAUGGCCCUUAUGGGUAGGGCUUCACACGUCAUACAAUGGAUCGGGACAGAGGGGUCGCCAACCCGCGAGGAGCGUCCAGAAACCCGAUCGUAGUCCGGAUCGCAGUCUGCAACUCGACUGCGUGAAGUCAGAAUCGCUAGUAAUCGCGGAUCAGCAUGUCGCGGUGAAUACGUUCCCGGGUCUUGUACACACCGCCUGUCACACCAUGGGAGUGGGUUUUACCAAGUUAGCCUAACCGUAAGGAGGGCGAUUACGGUAGGAUUCAUGACUGGGGUGAAGUCGUAACAAGGUAG
This 1442-nucleotide ribosomal RNA is filed under the name uncultured Bordetella sp. RNAcentral describes it as "partial 16S-23S ribosomal RNA intergenic spacer". It matches the Rfam family "Bacterial small subunit ribosomal RNA". The record is from RNAcentral. Lineage: Bacteria; Pseudomonadati; Pseudomonadota; Betaproteobacteria; Burkholderiales; Alcaligenaceae.